CUGGCUCAGGAUGAACGCUAGCGACAGGCUUAACACAUGCAAGUCGAGGGGCAGCAUAAAAGUAGCAAUACUUGGUGGCGACCGGCGCACGGGUGAGUAACGCGUAUGCAACCUACCUAUCAGAGGGGAAUAACCCGGCGAAAGUCGGACUAAUACCGCAUAAAACAGGGGCACCGCAUGGUGAUAUUUGUUAAAGAAAUUCGCUGAUAGAUGGGCAUGCGUUCCAUUAGGUAGUUGGUGAGGUAACGGCUCACCAAGCCGACGAUGGAUAGGGGAACUGAGAGGUUGGUCCCCCACACUGGUACUGAGACACGGACCAGACUCCUACGGGAGGCAGCAGUGAGGAAUAUUGGUCAAUGGGCGAGAGCCUGAACCAGCCAAGUCGCGUGAAGGAAGAAGGAUCUAUGGUUCGUAAACUUCUUUUGCAGGGGAAUAAAGUGCAGGACGUGUCCUGUUUUGUAUGUACCCUGAGAAUAAGGAUCGGCUAACUCCGUGCCAGCAGCCGC
RNAcentral lists this ribosomal RNA (506 nucleotides) under uncultured bacterium. RNAcentral describes it as "bacterial SSU rRNA". It matches the Rfam family "Bacterial small subunit ribosomal RNA", at positions 19 to 518 of the family's 1533-position model. The record is from RNAcentral.